UUAGUCAGGAAGGCCAAACACAAAACUACAUGCAUACACUGUGUACUCCAAAUACAAGAGAAGGCUAACUAAUUUCUACGCGUACCGAGCUGGGACAAGUAACAUGCGGUUGUUUGGAUCUAUUGCUAUGUGUAAAAAGUACUCAAGGUACUCUCAUCCGACUUGAAUCGAUAGAACGAGCUACUAAUUACGCAGAAAUAAGAACGAGUUUACGGUGUUGUCGUGAAGGCAUCCAUAGGAGUUUGAAACAUUUCGGAAAGAAUAUUGGAAUUACGAGCAGCUACCAAGCAAUAAAGAAACGAUUACCUCAGGAAUUUUCGUACUAGAUAAUAACAUAAAAUAGAUGUAUAAUGCCCCGAAGAAGCGUUACUCAGAGAGCAAUCCAUUUAUAUUUGAAUGAAUAGAGAAAUAAAUGAACUAAUCCAGAUCGAAAAGUG
Acromyrmex echinatior (Panamanian leafcutter ant) is the source of this 437-nucleotide long non-coding RNA. NCBI's taxonomy places the organism in Eukaryota, Metazoa, Arthropoda, Insecta, Hymenoptera, Formicidae. The record is from RefSeq and is a predicted model, not a curated record.